This 332-nucleotide unclassified non-coding RNA is filed under the name soil metagenome. RNAcentral's name for it is "partial contains 5.8S ribosomal RNA, internal transcribed spacer 2, and large subunit ribosomal RNA". The stretch from base 1 to 120 matches the Rfam family "5.8S ribosomal RNA", at positions 35 to 154 of the family's 154-position model. The record is from RNAcentral.
GAUGAAGAACGCAGCGAAAUGCGAUAAGUAGUGUGAAUUGCAGAAUUCAGUGAAUCAUCGAAUCUUUGAACGCACAUUGCGCCCUUUGGUAUUCCUUAGGGCAUGCCUGUUCGAGCGUCAUUUAAACCUUCAAGCUCAGCUUGGUGUUGGGUGACUGUCCGCUCCACCGCGGACUCGCCUCAAAAUUAUUGGCGGCCGGUACAUUGGCUUCGAGCGCAGCAGAAACGCGAACUCGGGCCCGUCGUAUUGGCUCCCAGAAGCUAUCUUCACAAUUUUGACCUCGGAUCAGGUAGGGAUACCCGCUGAACUUAAGCAUAUCAAUAAGCGGAGGA